This 777-nucleotide ribosomal RNA is filed under the name uncultured Neocallimastigales. RNAcentral's name for it is "partial large subunit ribosomal RNA". The stretch from base 2 to 696 matches the Rfam family "Eukaryotic large subunit ribosomal RNA", at positions 24 to 664 of the family's 3401-position model. Lineage: Eukaryota; Fungi; Neocallimastigomycota; Neocallimastigomycetes; Neocallimastigales. The record is from RNAcentral.
ACACGCAUGACACACUGCAUAUCAAUAAGCGGAGGAAAAGAAACUAACAAGGAUUCCCUCAGUAACGGCGAGUGAAGCGGGAAGAGCUCAAAUUUGAAAUCUUCAAGGUUUUACCUUGACGAAUUGUAGUUUAAAGAAGUGUUUUCUGUUGGAGUUUCGGUAAAAGUUCUUUGGAAUAGGACAUCAUAGAGGGUGAUGAAUCCCGUAUUUGACCAUUACUUUCCAGCUGUGUGAUACACUUUCAAAGAGUCGGAUUGUUUGGGAAUGCAGUCCAAAAUGGGUGGUAAAUUUCAUCUAAAGCUAAAUAUUGGCGAGAGACCGAUAGCGAACAAGUACCGUGAGGGAAAGAUGAAAAGAACUUUGAAAAGAGAGUUAAACAGUACGUGAAAUUGUCAAAAGGGAAGCGUUUGACACCAGUGCUGUUUUCUCGAAAAUCAAUUAAAAAUGAUGGGAUUUUGUGUUGUAUUGACUUUAUCAGCUUUCUGCACUUUUUUCCUUAUCUUUUUUAAUGCACUUUUCGUUUAACAAGUCAACAUCAAUUUCUUUUGUUGUAAAAGAGUCAUUGGAAGGUGGCUUUUUCUUCGGAAAAAGUGUUUAUAGCCUUUGGCUUCUGCAAUCGGAGAGAUUGAGGUCUGCAGCGUAGAUCCUUCGGGGUUAGAUACAUUUGUGCUAAGCUAUAGUUCUUUAUAGACAACUUGUUGACUAUAAUCCAAUCCUGUAACUUACUCGCUUAUGCUAUUUUACCUACGCUUAGGAUGUUGACUGAUAUGUAGUCGU